GCCGGGUGCGGUGGCGCGCGCCUGUAAUCCAAGUUACCGGGAGGCUGAGGCUGGAGGAUCGUUUGAGCUCAGGAGCUCUGAGCUGCAGCGGACUAUGCCGAUCGGGUGUCCGCGCUAAGUUCGAUAUCGAUAUGGUGCUCCUGGGGGAGCCCGGGACCACCAGGUCGUCUAAGGAGGGGUGCACCGGCCCAGGUCGGAGACGGAGCAGGUCAAAGCCCCCGUGCCGCUCAGUAGUGGGAUCGCGCCUGUGAAUAGACGCUGUAGUGCAGCCUGAGUAAUACAGCGGGACCCAGUCUUU
This 298-nucleotide signal recognition particle RNA is filed under the name Amphiprion percula (orange clownfish). Its description in RNAcentral is "Metazoan signal recognition particle RNA (ENSAPEG00000000860.1)". It matches the Rfam family "Metazoan signal recognition particle RNA". From Rfam's summary of the family: The signal recognition particle (SRP) is a universally conserved ribonucleoprotein. It is involved in the co-translational targeting of proteins to membranes. The eukaryotic SRP consists of a 300-nucleotide 7S RNA and six proteins: SRPs 72, 68, 54, 19, 14, and 9. The record is from RNAcentral. Lineage: Eukaryota; Metazoa; Chordata; Actinopteri; Pomacentridae.